CAUUUCUAGCUUGCUAGAAGAUGACGAGUGGCGGACGGGUGAGUAAUGCUUGGGAACUUGCCUUUGCGAGGGGGAUAACAGUUGGAAACGACUGCUAAUACCGCAUAAUGUCUUCGGACCAAACGGGGCUUCGGCUCCGGCGCAAAGAGAGGUCCAAGUGAGAUUAGCUAGUUGGUAAGGUAACGGCUUACCAAGGCGACUAUCUCUAUCUGUUCUGAGAGGAAUAUCAGCCACACUGGGACUGACACACCACCCACACUCCUACGGGAGGCAGCAGUGGGGAAUAUUGCACAGUGGGGGAAACCCUGAUGCAGCCAUGCCGCGUGUGUGAAGAACGCCUUCGGGUUGUAAAGCACUUUCUUUUGUGAGGAAAAGUUAGUAGUUAAUACCUGCUAGCCGUGACGUUAACAACAAAAGAAGCACCGGCUAACUCCGUGCCAGCAGCCGCGGUAAUACGGAGGGUGCGAGCGUUAAUCGGAAUUACUGGGCGUAAAGCGCACGC
RNAcentral lists this ribosomal RNA (502 nucleotides) under uncultured Alteromonas sp. Its description in RNAcentral is "bacterial SSU rRNA". It matches the Rfam family "Bacterial small subunit ribosomal RNA", at positions 70 to 572 of the family's 1533-position model. The record is from RNAcentral. Lineage: Bacteria; Pseudomonadati; Pseudomonadota; Gammaproteobacteria; Alteromonadales; Alteromonadaceae.